GAUGAACGCUGGUGGCGUGCCUAAUACAUGCAAGUCGAGCGAACAGACGAGGAGCUUGCUCCUCUGACGUUAGCGGCGGACGGGUGAGUAACACGUGGAUAACCUACCUAUAAGACUGGGAUAACUUCGGGAAACCGGAGCUAAUACCGGAUAAUAUAUUGAACCGCAUGGUUCAAUAGUGAAAGACGGUUUUGCUGUCACUUAUAGAUGGAUCCGCGCCGCAUUAGCUAGUUGGUAAGGUAACGGCUUACCAAGGCAACGAUGCGUAGCCGACCUGAGAGGGUGAUCGGCCACACUGGAACUGAGACACGGUCCAGACUCCUACGGGAGGCAGCAGUAGGGAAUCUUCCGCAAUGGGCGAAAGCUUGACGGAGCAACGCCGCGUGAGUGAUGAAGGUCUUCGGAUCGUAAAACUCUGUUAUUAGGGAAGAACAAAUGUGUAAGUAACUAUGCACGUCUUGACGGUACCUAAUCAGAAAGCCACGGCUAACUACGUG
RNAcentral lists this ribosomal RNA (497 nucleotides) under uncultured bacterium. Its description in RNAcentral is "partial 16S ribosomal RNA". It matches the Rfam family "Bacterial small subunit ribosomal RNA", at positions 28 to 507 of the family's 1533-position model. The record is from RNAcentral.